GUCCAGUUGACGAUUCCCAAAUAGAACGAAGUGCGCAUCCUGGAU
Molecule: non-coding RNA, 45 nt
Filed under: Trichobilharzia regenti
Lineage: Eukaryota; Metazoa; Platyhelminthes; Trematoda; Strigeidida; Schistosomatidae
Source: RNAcentral